This 1071-nucleotide ribosomal RNA is filed under the name Fusarium proliferatum. RNAcentral describes it as "eukaryotic LSU rRNA". The stretch from base 477 to 1071 matches the Rfam family "Eukaryotic large subunit ribosomal RNA", at positions 1 to 607 of the family's 3401-position model. The record is from RNAcentral. Lineage: Eukaryota; Fungi; Ascomycota; Sordariomycetes; Hypocreales; Nectriaceae.
CAUUACCGAGUUUACAACUCCCAAACCCCUGUGAACAUACCAAUUGUUGCCUCGGCGGAUCAGCCCGCUCCCGGUAAAACGGGACGGCCCGCCAGAGGACCCCUAAACUCUGUUUCUAUAUGUAACUUCUGAGUAAAACCAUAAAUAAAUCAAAACUUUCAACAACGGAUCUCUUGGUUCUGGCAUCGAUGAAGAACGCAGCAAAAUGCGAUAAGUAAUGUGAAUUGCAGAAUUCAGUGAAUCAUCGAAUCUUUGAACGCACAUUGCGCCCGCCAGUAUUCUGGCGGGCAUGCCUGUUCGAGCGUCAUUUCAACCCUCAAGCCCCCGGGUUUGGUGUUGGGGAUCGGCGAGCCCUUGCGGCAAGCCGGCCCCGAAAUCUAGUGGCGGUCUCGCUGCAGCUUCCAUUGCGUAGUAGUAAAACCCUCGCAACUGGUACGCGGCGCGGCCAAGCCGUUAAACCCCCAACUUCUGAAUGUUGACCUCGGAUCAGGUAGGAAUACCCGCUGAACUUAAGCAUAUCAAUAAGCGGAGGAAAAGAAACCAACAGGGAUUGCCCUAGUAACGGCGAGUGAAGCGGCAACAGCUCAAAUUUGAAAUCUGGCUCUCGGGCCCGAGUUGUAAUUUGUAGAGGAUACUUUUGAUGCGGUGCCUUCCGAGUUCCCUGGAACGGGACGCCAUAGAGGGUGAGAGCCCCGUCUGGUUGGAUGCCAAAUCUCUGUAAAGUUCCUUCGACGAGUCGAGUAGUUUGGGAAUGCUGCUCUAAAUGGGAGGUAUAUGUCUUCUAAAGCUAAAUACCGGCCAGAGACCGAUAGCGCACAAGUAGAGUGAUCGAAAGAUGAAAAGCACUUUGAAAAGAGAGUUAAAAAGUACGUGAAAUUGUUGAAAGGGAAGCGUUUAUGACCAGACUUGGGCUUGGUUAAUCAUCUGGGGUUCUCCCCAGUGCACUUUUCCAGUCCAGGCCAGCAUCAGUUUUCCCCGGGGGAUAAAGACUUCGGGAAUGUGGCUCUCUUCGGGGAGUGUUAUAGCCCGUUGUGUAAUACCCUGGGGGGGACUGAGGUUCGCGCAUCUGCA